This 465-nucleotide long non-coding RNA is filed under the name Coccomyxa subellipsoidea. RNAcentral describes it as "long non-coding RNA (CSUB_LNC000075)". Lineage: Eukaryota; Viridiplantae; Chlorophyta; Trebouxiophyceae; Coccomyxaceae. The record is from RNAcentral.
AGUUUGUAGUAUUCUCCCCAAAGGACUGCUGAUUGGUCUCAAUCGCACAGCAAGAAUGUGACAACAACGCCAUGGUCUGUGUUUGAUCUCCAGAGGAGGCUUCCUCCUGGUCCGAAAGGUGCGACAGCCCCACUAGUUGCCCGCCCUGCCCAUCUGCUCUGCUCUGCUAUAUUGCAGCUUUUACGCGUGUCGUGUGUACUAGCCACAACAUAAUGGCAUGUUCCUUAAAAUUAGCUGUAAUUUGCACCAUCGACUCCAUACGUGCUGUGUGCAGACAACAGUCUCAAGAUUCAUUUAAGAGUACUUGUAUGUGCUGCUCAGAUCCCUGCUCGACACAUCAUGCCAAGCUCGUGGAUUGUGGUUGAGGAGCACGUGUUCGUCUGUCAGUGCCGCUUGAGUAGAACACAUCAGAGGAAGUGGAGAAGCACGUGAACGAGCGCAAUGGCGUCUCCACUGGAUCACGGG